This 393-nucleotide ribosomal RNA is filed under the name uncultured bacterium. RNAcentral's name for it is "partial 16S ribosomal RNA". It matches the Rfam family "Bacterial small subunit ribosomal RNA", at positions 523 to 918 of the family's 1533-position model. The record is from RNAcentral.
AUACGGAGGAUCCGAGCGUUAUCCGGAUUUAUUGGGUUUAAAGGGUGCGCAGGCGGGAGAUUAAGUCGGCGGUGAAAUUUUUCAGCUCAACUGUAAAAGUGCCUUCGAAAACGGGUUCCUUUAGUGGAGGUGAAGUAGGCGGAAUUUGUGGGGGAGCGGUGAAAUGCAUAGAUAUCACGAGGAACUCCGAUUGCGCAGGCAGCUUACUAAACUACUACUGACGCUCAGGCACGAAGGCGUGGGGAUCAAACAGGAUUAGAUACCCUGGUAGUCCACGCAGUAAACGAUGAUUACUAGCUGUUUGCGAUACAAUGUAAGCGGCUGAGCGAAAGCGUUAAGUAAUCCACCUGGGGAGUACGUUCGCAAGAAUGAAACUCAAAUGAAUUGACGGGG